RNAcentral lists this long non-coding RNA (390 nucleotides) under Pan troglodytes (chimpanzee). RNAcentral describes it as "long non-coding RNA NONPTRT010730". Lineage: Eukaryota; Metazoa; Chordata; Mammalia; Primates; Hominidae. The record is from RNAcentral.
GCAUUGUAUUGUAUUUUUCCUUUCUGCUUCCCAUUUCUCGGAGACAAAUCUGGUUGCCAUGGAGACCAUGCUGUUGUCAAGGUGGCUGAUUGGCCGGCGCGGGAUGCGGGGACGUUUCCUUGGGCCCCCGGCGGGCGCAGCCCUCAGCCCGCACUGCGGAGCCAGGCGGCAGCAUGGACCGGGCUGGGGCAGACAUGUGGGCCAGCACCUUCACCCUGGCCAUGGCCGAGAGGAAGCCCCAGGACGUCUGGGUUCUGCUACCUGAGCACAGCCUGGUCCCGGGAUGCCUGGACGGCGGUGGUGUCCAGUACCUGCUGGUGGGGCUCUCGAGGCUCCAGUGCGGUCACUGUCCGGGGACCUGGGACUCGGCCCAUGUGCACGUCCUCUUCC